This 88-nucleotide transfer RNA is filed under the name Lentisphaerota bacterium. RNAcentral describes it as "Lentisphaerae bacterium (anaerobic digester metagenome) tRNA-Ser". It matches the Rfam family "tRNA". From Rfam's summary of the family: Transfer RNA (tRNA) molecules are approximately 80 nucleotides in length. Their secondary structure includes four short double-helical elements and three loops (D, anti-codon, and T loops). The record is from RNAcentral. Lineage: Bacteria; Pseudomonadati; Lentisphaerota. RNAcentral also lists the same sequence under 1 other name.
GGAGAGGUGGCUGAGUGGUCUAUGGCAGCGGUCUUGAAAACCGCCGUACCGCAAGGUACCGAGGGUUCGAAUCCCUCCCUCUCCGCCA